Molecule: transfer RNA, 73 nt
Filed under: Candidatus Mycalebacterium zealandia
Lineage: Bacteria; Pseudomonadati; Thermodesulfobacteriota; Candidatus Dadabacteria; Candidatus Nemesobacterales; Candidatus Mycalebacteriaceae
Description: tRNA-Ala
Rfam family: tRNA
About the family: Transfer RNA (tRNA) molecules are approximately 80 nucleotides in length. Their secondary structure includes four short double-helical elements and three loops (D, anti-codon, and T loops).
Source: RNAcentral
GGGGCCGUAGCUCAGCUGGGAGAGCGCAUCAAUGGCAUUGAUGAGGUCGGCGGUUCGAACCCGCUCGGCUCCA